Molecule: ribosomal RNA, 583 nt
Filed under: uncultured bacterium
Lineage: Bacteria
Description: bacterial SSU rRNA
Rfam family: Bacterial small subunit ribosomal RNA
Source: RNAcentral
CCUACGGGAGGCAGCAGUGGGGAAUUUUGGACAAUGGGCGCAAGCCUGAUCCAGCAAUGCCGCGUGAGUGAAGAAGGCCUUCGGGUUGUAAAGCUCUUUUGUCAGGGAAGAAACGGUGGGAGCUAAUAUCUCCUACUAAUGACGGUACCUGAAGAAUAAGCACCGGCUAACUACGUGCCAGCAGCCGCGGUAAUACGUAGGGUGCAAGCGUUAAUCGGAAUUACUGGGCGUAAAGCGUGCGCAGGCGGUUUUGUAAGUCUGUCGUGAAAGCCCCGGGCUCAACCUGGGAAUUGCGAUGGAGACUGCAAGGCUUGAAUCUGGCAGAGGGGGGUAGAAUUCCACGUGUAGCAGUGAAAUGCGUAGAGAUGUGGAGGAACACCGAUGGCGAAGGCAGCCCCCUGGGUCAAGAUUGACGCUCAUGCACGAAAGCGUGGGGAGCAAACAGGAUUAGAUACCCUGGUAGUCCACGCCCUAAACGAUGUCUACUAGUUGUCGGGUUUUAAUAACUUGGUAACGCAGCUAACGCGUGAAGUAGACCGCCUGGGGAGUACGGUCGCAAGNUUAAAACNCAAAGGAUUGACGG